This is an RNA transcript of Zingiber officinale, 2106 nucleotides long. It is a transcript of the gene named pentatricopeptide repeat-containing protein At1g80150, mitochondrial-like, with no coding region annotated. NCBI's taxonomy places the organism in Eukaryota, Viridiplantae, Streptophyta, Magnoliopsida, Zingiberales, Zingiberaceae. The transcript has 3 exons. The record is from RefSeq and is a predicted model, not a curated record.
UCGCGAUUUACGAAACCCUAAACGCGGAUUUAAUCCUCCCGGCCGGAUGCUGUGGGAGAUCAUAUGAAUCUCUGGAUUGCCAAGUUUCUCUGUUCCGUAGAUUUCCUUUCCGGUUCUUCCCUUUUGGAGCUUAUUUGUCGCUAGAGUUCUCCGCCAUAGUUGAUUUGAUUUAGCAGUAAAACUGCCGCCUUUCGGAUCAUGCUCUCUUUGCGCACCGUUCGUCGAAUCUGUGCUGCAAUCGAUGCAGCUAGCGUGACGUGUAUUGUUGCUGGUCUAUCGAAACUGAGAAAAAGAUCGGAUUUUUCUGUAUGUGCCGGCGAAUCUGGCUGUCCUGACGAUUUCCCUACCAUCUCUGCAUGCAAAGCGGCGGUGUUGAACAAUCGUCCUAGACCGAAGCCUCGUCUGGAGAAAGAGACCUCAUCGACCCGCAAUUGUCAGGGUCCACUACAAAACAGCGAGCCUGCUCUAUUCAAGCUCAAAAAAGAGAAGGAUCCAGAGAAGCUCUUCCAUCUCUUCAAAUCCAAUGCAACCAACCGCCUUGUAAUCGAGAACCGCUUUGCAUUUGAGGAUACAGUAUCACGUCUUGCGGGUGCCAGACGUUUUGACCUCAUCGAACACCUCCUUGAGCACCAAAAGACACUUCCCCAGGGUCGUCGUGAAGGAUUCAUUGUUCGGAUCAUAAUGCUAUAUGGGAAAGCAAGGAUGCCUGAUCAUGCCCUGCAGACAUUCCGUCAAAUGCACCUGUUUAGCUGCCCAAGAACGGUUAAAUCAUUCAAUGCGAUACUUAAAGUAUUGUCUCAAGCCUGCAAGUAUCAGGAUGCCCAGAUGCUUUUAGACGAGUGUGCUACGAAAUAUGGAAUAGCGUUGGAUGAGAUUUCUUAUAAUAUCACUAUCAAGUUAAUGUGUGAAAUGGGUGAUCUGGAUUCUGCUUACUUAAUCAUGGUAGAGAUGGAGAAGGCUGGGCUUAAGGCAGAUGUUGUUACAUACACAACACUCAUAUCUGCAUUUUAUAAGAAUGGGCGUGGCGAGAUUGGCAAUGGAUUGUGGAAUCUGAUGGUGCUUCGAGGCUGUUUGCCAAAUUUAGCUACUUUUAAUGUUAGAAUUCAGUAUUUGAUCAACAGAAUGAGGGCUUGGCAAGCCAAUGAGUUAAUACACUUAAUGUUGAAAGGUGGUCCAAAACCAGAUGAAAUGACAUACAACUUGAUUAUCAAAGGUUUUUGUAUGAUGGGUGAGUUUGAUAUGGCUGAGAAAAUUUUCUAUGCUUUGCGCAGAAGGGGAUGCGAGCCAAACAGCAAGAUUUAUCAAACUAUGGUGCAUUACUUCUGUGAAGGAGGAGAUUUUGAUUUUGCAUUUAGGUUGUGCAAGGAUAGCAUGGAGAGGAAUUGGUUCCCAAGUGUUGGCACCAUUGAUAAGCUAUUGAAAGGCCUUAUGAGUAUUUCAAAGCAUCAGAAUGCGAAAGAAAUUUUAAAAUUAGUUGAGGCGAGGAGUUCAUAUUCGAGUAAUGAAGUCAAAGAAUUGGAAAACUUGUUAACUUGCGAUAGUAAACAGCAGAGUCAGUGAAGCUCUGGGACAAUUGUUUAUUUAUUUGUCUUAUAAUUUGGUUGAGAAAGAAGUUUCUCUUACAAUCUUAUUUAUUUGUUUCGUAAAUCAUCUCACAAACAUUCUGGAUUCUUUUGAUAUGGAGAGUCACACUUGCUUGAAAGGAGCUCACAUGCUUUGAACUCCCUGGAAUUGCCAGCUAUAGCAAACUUUCUGAAGUUAUUUGGUAUAAAAGAGACUCAGAUGUGACGAGAUUAUACAGCAAGAUGUAUUUACAUUCAAGAUUGGGGCCUUUUUGUCUCUAAGCAUGGCUACCUCUUCCAUCGAAAAGAUUGCCAUCACUGCUCCCUUCAUUCAUUGUUGCUAGAUCAUGUAUCACUGAUCGAAAAGGUAUCGGCAUCCGUCCUUCUGUCAUCAUAAUCAGAGGAAGAUAUGCUACAUGUUUGUAUGGAAAUGUCGAUUAGUUGUAUACCAAACCUCUAUGUAUGAGCAAAAAAAGGAGAUUACACAUGAGUUUAUGUUCAACAAAUCUUAAUAAACAACCAUUUUCAAGCAGGUUGUGCAGUA